UACGGAGGGUGCAAGCGUUAUCCGGAUUUACUGGGUUUAAAGGGUGCGUAGGUGGGUAGGUAAGUCAGUGGUGAAAUCUUCGAGCUUAACUCGGAAACUGCCAUUGAUACUAUUUAUCUUGAAUACUUUGGAGGUAAGCGGAAUAUGUCAUGUAGCGGUGAAAUGCUUAGAUAUGACAGAGAACACCAAUUGCGAAGGCAGCUUACUACACAGUCAUUGACACUGAGGCACGAAAGCGUGGGGAUCAAACAGG
Molecule: ribosomal RNA, 253 nt
Filed under: uncultured bacterium
Lineage: Bacteria
Description: partial 16S ribosomal RNA
Rfam family: Bacterial small subunit ribosomal RNA
Source: RNAcentral